AGUGGGGAAUCUUGCGCAAUGGCCGAAAGGCUGACGCAGCGACGCCGCGUGGAGGAUGACGCCCUUCGGGGUGUAAACUCCUGUUGCCCGGGACGAAUACCUGUUUCGACAGGGGUGACGGUACCGGGUGAGGAAGCACCGGCUAACUCUGUGCCAGCAGCCGCGGUAAUACAGAGGGUGCGAGCGUUGUCCGGAAUCACUGGGCGUAAAGGGCGCGUAGGUGGCUGGGUAAGCGUGUGGUGAAAGCCCGGGGCUCAACCCCGGGUCGGCCAUGCGAACUGUCCGGCUGGAGCACGGUAGAGGCACAUGGAAUUCCGGGUGUAGCGGUGGAAUGCGUAGAGAUCCGGAAGAACACCGGUGGCGAAGGCGGUGUGCUGGGCCGUUGCUGACACUGAGGCGCGACAGCGUGGGGAGCAAA
This 418-nucleotide ribosomal RNA is filed under the name uncultured Gemmatimonadaceae bacterium. Its description in RNAcentral is "bacterial SSU rRNA". It matches the Rfam family "Bacterial small subunit ribosomal RNA", at positions 353 to 772 of the family's 1533-position model. Lineage: Bacteria; Pseudomonadati; Gemmatimonadota; Gemmatimonadia; Gemmatimonadales; Gemmatimonadaceae. The record is from RNAcentral.